UACGGGGGGUGCGAGCGUUGUCCGGAAUCACUGGGCGUAAAGGGCGCGUAGGUGGCCUGAUAAGGGUGUGGUGAAAGUCCGGGGCUCAACCUCGGAUCGGCCGUGGCGACUCGUGGGCUGGAGCACUGUAGAGGCGGGUGGAAUUCCGGGUGUAGCGGUGGAAUGCGUAGAGAUCCGGAAGAACACCAGUGGCGAAGGCGGCCCGCUGGGCAGUGGCUGACGCUGAAGCGCGACAGCGUGGGGAGCAAACAGG
RNAcentral lists this ribosomal RNA (253 nucleotides) under uncultured bacterium. Its description in RNAcentral is "partial 16S ribosomal RNA". It matches the Rfam family "Bacterial small subunit ribosomal RNA", at positions 524 to 776 of the family's 1533-position model. The record is from RNAcentral.